GCCAGGCGUGGUGGCGCACGCCUGUAAUCCCAGCUACUUGGGAGGCUGAGGCAGGAGAAUUGCUUGAACCUAGUGGGUGGAGGUUUCAGUGAGCUGAGAUUGCACACUGCACUCCAGCCUGGGUGACAGAGCGAGACUCUGCCUCAA
Non-coding RNA from Pan troglodytes (chimpanzee), 147 nucleotides. It matches the Rfam family "Metazoan signal recognition particle RNA". From Rfam's summary of the family: The signal recognition particle (SRP) is a universally conserved ribonucleoprotein. It is involved in the co-translational targeting of proteins to membranes. The record is from Rfam. NCBI's taxonomy places the organism in Eukaryota, Metazoa, Chordata, Mammalia, Primates, Hominidae.